This 491-nucleotide ribosomal RNA is filed under the name uncultured bacterium. RNAcentral describes it as "partial 16S ribosomal RNA". It matches the Rfam family "Bacterial small subunit ribosomal RNA", at positions 30 to 507 of the family's 1533-position model. The record is from RNAcentral.
AUUGAACGCUGGCGGCAUGCUUUACACAUGCAAGUCGAACGGUAACAGGCCUUCGGGUGCUGACGAGUGGCGAACGGGUGAGUAAUGCAUCGGAACGUGCCCAGAGGUGGGGGAUAACGCAGCGAAAGCUGUGCUAAUACCGCAUGUGAUCUGAGGAUGAAAGCGGGGGACCAAGCAGCAAUGUUUGGCCUCGCGCCUCUGGAGCGGCCGAUGUCAGAUUAGGUAGUUGGUGGGGUAAAGGCCACCAAGCCGACGAUCUGUAGCUGGUCUGAGAGGACGACCAGCCACACUGGGACUGAGACACGGCCCAGACUCCUACGGGAGGCAGCAGUGGGGAAUUUUGGACAAUGGGCGCAAGCCUGAUCCAGCAAUGCCGCGUGCGGGAAGAAGGCCUUCGGGUUGUAAACCGCUUUUGUACGGAACGAAAAGGCUCUGGCUAAUACCUGGGGCUGAUGACGGUACCGUAAGAAUAAGCACCGGCUAACUACGUG